UUACGGUCAUAUCGCAGAGAAACACCGGUUCCCGUUCGAUCACUGAAGAUAAGUAACAUCACGCCUAGUUAGUACCUAGAUGGGGGG
Acanthosepion pharaonis is the source of this 87-nucleotide non-coding RNA. The record is from the annotation of a GenBank genome assembly. NCBI's taxonomy places the organism in Eukaryota, Metazoa, Mollusca, Cephalopoda, Sepiida, Sepiidae.